UAGUGGGUCAUCCUUCUUCUUAUAUUUGCAUCGUGUGCUCUUUGGAAUAUAAGCACAAUCUGUCUAAAUACCAGCGCUGAGGUGCAGACAGGAGCACCAUAUAACAAGAUUGUGAACCACCGACGCUACAAUACGCCUUAUUCACUGUUUAGUACUGUAUAAACAUUUAGCAUCAUCCUUGAUAUUGCCGCAAUUUUGAUACACGCUUUGCUUGCAGCCACCUCCAAAUUUUUCUUGAAGCCAAAGGUUGUGCUAAGUGUAAUUCCCGGGUAUUUUAUUUCUCCUCUUAAUCCAAUCUCCGUUCCUUGCAGGCGGAAUUUUAGUACCUAGUAAGCUCUUUUUUUGGUAAGCAUAACAGCUACUAUCUUCUCCACCGAGAGUUUAAGGCAACAGUUCUUCAUCCACAUUGCAACUUCUAGCACCAAGUAGUACUACCCGUUGCUAUAAUCGUAAAAGCCACUAGUUUUGCACUAGAGGUCCCAUUAUUGUUCCAUAGCAGCUCUAGCUUGGGAAAACCGUCGUAUAUUACGUUUAAUAAUGUUCUUCCCGUAGGCUAGGGUUCUUUCACACAAAUAUCUAUUCAGGAUUCGGGAAGGUGUUCAGAAACUUGUUUACUUCUUACUCAAUCAUCGAUUCUGACCCUAUAUGCCAUGUUGAAGGCAUUUGCUACGUCUAGUGAUACCACUGCGCAGAGUUUUCUCUUAUAAGUUGAUUCCCUCCUUGUUGAAUUCGCAAUGUUCAUUAUACUUAGCUUGGCUUUUUUCGUAGACUUAUGUUUCUUAUAGCCGUAUUGGUAAUCACUCAAUCCAUCGGUUACUUCUAGGUAGGUUUCAAGUCUUUCCUUUAAA
Molecule: non-coding RNA, 848 nt
Organism: Cinara cedri
Lineage: Eukaryota; Metazoa; Arthropoda; Insecta; Hemiptera; Aphididae
Source: the annotation of a GenBank genome assembly